GUCAGUGCCGAUAGCGCUCAGGUCCCACCUGUUCCCAUUCCGAACACAGCAGUUAAACUGAGCAGCGCCGAAAAUACUUGUCUGGAGACGGACCGGGAAGAUAGGGAGGUGCUGGCU
Molecule: ribosomal RNA, 117 nt
Filed under: Oscillospiraceae bacterium
Lineage: Bacteria; Bacillati; Bacillota; Clostridia; Eubacteriales; Oscillospiraceae
Source: RNAcentral